UACGGAGGGUGCAAGCGUUAUCCGGAUUUACUGGGUUUAAAGGGUGCGCAGGCGGAUAUGUAAGUCAGUGGUGAAAUCUCCGGGCUUAACCCGGAAACUGCCGUUGAUACUAUAUAUCUUGAAUGCUGUGGAGGUAAGCAGAAUAUGUCAUGUAGCGGUGAAAUGCUUAGAUAUGACAUAGAAUACCUAUUGCGAAGGCAGCUUACUACGCAGAUAUUGACGCUCAUGCACGAAAGCGUGGGGAUCAAACAGG
This 253-nucleotide ribosomal RNA is filed under the name uncultured bacterium. Its description in RNAcentral is "partial 16S ribosomal RNA". It matches the Rfam family "Bacterial small subunit ribosomal RNA", at positions 524 to 776 of the family's 1533-position model. RNAcentral also lists the same sequence under 1 other name. The record is from RNAcentral.